Molecule: unclassified non-coding RNA, 197 nt
Filed under: uncultured fungus
Lineage: Eukaryota; Fungi
Description: sequence contains ITS1
Source: RNAcentral
UUUAUUUGUUUAUAAUUUUUUACUCAGACAUCAAAAUUCAAGAGUUUGUAUCUUCGGCGAACAACUCGUCCGCUCGAAAGCCGACGGUCAAUAAAGACGGCUCGCCGAAGCAACAGGUCAUGUUAAACAUAGGGUGGGAGGUAACACUUGCGUGUCAACACUCAGUAAUGAUCCUUCCGCAGGUUCACCUACGGAAA